AUUGAACGCUGGCGGCGUGCCUAACACAUGCAAGUCGAGCGGUAACAGGUGUAGCAAUACAUGCUGACGAGCGGCGAACGGGUGAGUAAUGCUUUGGAAUCUUCCCAGUAGUGGGGAAUAACCAGUCGAAAGAUUGGCUAAUACCGCAUACGUCUGUAAAGGGAAAGCGGGGGCUCGUAAGACCUCGCGCUAUUGGAUGAGCCAAAGUCGGAUUAGCUAGUUGGGGGGUAAUGGCCUACCAAGGCGACAAUCCGUAGCUGGUCUGAGAGGACGACCAGCCACACCGGAACUGAGACACGGUCCGGACUCCUACGGGAGGCAGCAGUGGGGAAUAUUGGACAAUGGGGGAAACCCUGAUCCAGCGACGCCGCGUGUGUGAAGAAGGCCUGCGGGUUGUAAAAGCACUUUUAGUGGGGAACAAAAGCUACGAUUAAUACUCUGUGGUCUUGAUUUAAACCCAAAGAAAAGCACCGGCUAACUCUGUGCCAGCCGCCG
This 495-nucleotide ribosomal RNA is filed under the name uncultured bacterium. RNAcentral describes it as "bacterial SSU rRNA". It matches the Rfam family "Bacterial small subunit ribosomal RNA", at positions 30 to 517 of the family's 1533-position model. The record is from RNAcentral.